AUCAACGAACCCAUUACCUUACCUUUAAGAUAGAUCAGUAAACAUGGGCAUACUUAUGGGUGAUUAUUCAGACUAGUGCACACAUAUUACAGUUCAAACAAGGCAAUGCCGAGCGUGGCAUCCCCUCGUAUGUAACAUAUUGGGGACAAAUAUGGACACUAUAUGUGUAUAUGACACAUGCAGAAAAUGGUAAAUUGAAUAUGCAUAUUUGAUACAUAAACUCGUUUUAGAAAUCAACCAAAGCAUUCAGUAACUGGAAAAACCUUUAAUAUUGUCUUUAGAACCAGCAGGUAAAAAAAUGAGCAACCAAUAUCCUGUGUAUUAUGCUAUUUCAAGGAGAAAACACAAGUCCAUCUGCAUGACCUUGACCUUUGGCCUUGAACGUAAAAAAUGUCAGAUCAUUACAAGGAGGAACAAUAUACCAAAUGUGGUUAAAAUCUUUUGAAGCAUAUUGGUUUUAGAGUGUCCACAAGGGUGAUAUUGCCUUGUAUUACAACUGCCACUAUGACCUUGACCUUUGAACUUUAAAGUCA
Molecule: long non-coding RNA, 533 nt
Filed under: Mytilus galloprovincialis (Mediterranean mussel)
Lineage: Eukaryota; Metazoa; Mollusca; Bivalvia; Mytilida; Mytilidae
Source: RNAcentral